RNAcentral lists this ribosomal RNA (328 nucleotides) under uncultured eukaryote. RNAcentral describes it as "partial 18S ribosomal RNA". It matches the Rfam family "Eukaryotic small subunit ribosomal RNA", at positions 1470 to 1796 of the family's 1831-position model. The record is from RNAcentral.
CCCUUAGAUGUUCUGGGCCGCACGCGCGCUACACUGAUGCAUGCAACGAGUUUAUAACCUUGGCCUGAAAGGUCUGGGUAAUCUUUUGAACGCGCAUCGUGAUAGGGAUAGAUUAUUGCAAUUGUUAAUCUUGAACGAGGAAUUCCUAGUAAACGCGAGUCAUCAGCUCGCAUUGAUUACGUCCCUGCCCUUUGUACACACCGCCCGUCGCACCUACCGAUUGAAUGGUUCGGUGAAGAUCUCGGACUUCGAUAUUUAUUCUUUAUUGAGUUUAUAUUGUGGGAAGUUAUCUAAACCUCAUCAUUUAGAGGAAGGUGAAGUCGUAACA